AGAUUGGACAGCUACAGUAUUUCUAAAUAUUUUUGAUGAGUCUUUGUUAAACAAAGAUUCAAGAUUCCUAGGAUAAUUUUUGAUGGAACCAUCUGGUUCUUCAUUGGUUGGAUAGUAAAAGUCAUAGUUACUUGUGCAAACGAUUUCGGAGCCAGGUAUUCUAGAAGGAGGCACUAUUCUUACAAAGGGGCUCGUAAUUGGGAUAUUUAUAUUGCCCCAGGCAACAAAUCCAGCAUGCUUACCUGGCUCUGUAUAUGUAGUAUACAAAACGCCAUUUGAAAACUUAUCAUUAGGAACUAACAUGGGGAAAAACCCUCCGAAUCCAGCGGGGGGCGUCCAGAAAGAUGACAAUCCUGAGCUCUGCUUUGAAAAUUCAUAGCUUAGGGUGAUAUUUGCAGAGAAUUCAAUUACAGGAAUGUCGGUUCCAUGAGAAUUUGUGCCAGGAACAACUUCAGAAUAAUCUACACUAAUUUUAAAUGGGAAUGAUGUUGCCUUAAAUAAAUAUGUAGAAAUUCCAACUUUAUCCAUAACGUCUUCUCCAAAUAUUGUGGGAUCAAACUGGUACUUAACAUCCCUAUCCAUUAUUUGGGGAAUCUUAUCUGGAAGUUGUUCAUUAAAUUCUUUAACAAUAUUCACGAGUUUCGAUCCUUCUAACCAAAUUGUAAUAUUGUUUGCUCCAUUAAAUAUUGUAUACGUAGUUUCACUUUCCAUCAGAGCUUGUGCAAUAUCAGUACAAGCCUUGACAACUUUUACUGUAUCUACACCUAAUUGGAACUUCUGUAAGCUUUUUUGUAAUGAAACUGAAUCACAAAUAAUAUUUUUAAUUGGAGUCAUGCCACUUUUUGGAUAAGACCCAAUAAACUGUAUUGUUAUUGGAUGCAUAAAUUGGCAUGGGCUUACAAAAUUGGUUACUUGACUAUCUAUAGAAAGAAAGUUACCUACUCCCGGCCCAAUGAAUAGAGAUGCCAAAUUAAAUCCGAUAGGGUAGUAGUAAACUCUGUCAGGCGGACCGUUCAUAUCUAUGUUUGCAUUGGCCAUACCAAACAUAAAUAUUUUAAAGCUUACGAAUGAAAGCAGAAGUAAAAUGAACUGCAAACACUUUAGUCGUCUUAUCUUCAUCUUAAAAAACGAGGGCAUCAAAAAGAAUCCUAUAUUGUCCAUAUUACUGGAAUUAUUCUCCAAAAUCACCAGUAUUUUACCCCUCUAUCAAGAAAGAAUACCUUUAAUCUCCACCACACAUUUUUACACAAUUAUGCUACUUGACACAAUAGCUGAUUUUAAAUAACUAAGGAAAGUUAUGGAGCCAUAUUAAUCAAUGUAAAAUAUGUUUGGCUAAAAAAAAAUAAUAUGUUUAUUACAAUUUGAGGUGCAAUAUCACAAUUACAAUAAAUUGAAGGUAAAUAAAAGUUAAAAUACAAUAGUUUUUAUAGGAACAGUGUUUCGUUAUCAUUAUUGAAAUAAGCAAUGGG
RNAcentral lists this non-coding RNA (1469 nucleotides) under Cryptosporidium parvum. Lineage: Eukaryota; Apicomplexa; Conoidasida; Eucoccidiorida; Cryptosporidiidae. The record is from RNAcentral.